CAGUCGCCACGGGAAUACAGAGGGUGCAAGCGUUAAUCGGAAUUACUGGGCGUAAAGCGCGCGUAGGUGGUUCGCCAAGUUGGAUGUGAAAUCCCCGGGCUCAACCUGGGAACUGCAUUUGUGACUGUAUAGCUAGAGUACGGCAGAGGGGGAUGGAAUUCCGCGUGUAGCAGUGAAAUGCGUAGAUAUGCGGAGGAACACCGAUGGCGAAGGCAAUCCCCUGGGCCUGUACUGACGCUCAUGCACGAAAGCGUGGGGAGCAAACAGGAUUAGAUACCCGUGUAGUCCCUGUCUCUUAUAU
This 301-nucleotide ribosomal RNA is filed under the name uncultured bacterium. Its description in RNAcentral is "partial 16S ribosomal RNA". It matches the Rfam family "Bacterial small subunit ribosomal RNA", at positions 509 to 809 of the family's 1533-position model. The record is from RNAcentral.